Non-coding RNA from Pragia fontium, 127 nucleotides. The record is from Rfam. Lineage: Bacteria; Pseudomonadati; Pseudomonadota; Gammaproteobacteria; Enterobacterales; Budviciaceae.
UAACCACCAUCAUCACCCUGAUUAGUCUUCAGGCCUUUGGUGCUGGAAGACGAUCUACGAUUCUUCCAGUGGCAAACAGAAAGUUUAAAGAGAGCCCUCGGAAGAAUCCUUCCGAGGGCUUUUUUAA